UACGUAGGGGGCAAGCGUUGUCCGGAUUUAUUGGGCGUAAAGAGCGUGUAGGCGGCCAGACAAGUCUGCUGUGAAAACUCGAGGCUCAACCUCGAGCUGUCGGUGGAAACUGUCUGGCUAGAGUCCGGAAGAGGAGAGUGGAAUUCCUGGUUUAGCGGUGAAAUGCGCAGAUAUCAGGAAGAACACCUAUGGCGAAGGCAGCUCUCUGGGACGGUACUGACGCUGAGACGCGAAAGCGUGGGGAGCGAACAGG
This 253-nucleotide ribosomal RNA is filed under the name uncultured bacterium. Its description in RNAcentral is "partial 16S ribosomal RNA". It matches the Rfam family "Bacterial small subunit ribosomal RNA", at positions 524 to 776 of the family's 1533-position model. The record is from RNAcentral.